UAACGCGAAGAACCUUACCUGGUCUUGACAUCCACGGAAGUUUUCAGAGAUGAGAAUGUGCCUUCGGGAACCGUGAGGCAGGUGCUGCAUGGCUGUCGUCAGCUCGUGUUGUGAAAUGUUGGGUUAAGUCCCGCAACGAGCGCAACCCUUAUCCUUUGUUGCCAGCGGUCCGGCCGGGAACUCAAAGGAGACUGCCAGUGAUAAACUGGAGGAAGGUGGGGAUGACGUCAAGUCAUCAUGGCCCUUACGACCAGGGCUACACACGUGCUACAAUGGCGCAUACAAAGAGAAGCGACCUCGCGAGAGCAAGCGGACCUCAUAAAGUGCGUCGUAGUCCGGAUUGGAGUCUGCAACUCGACUCCAUGAAGUCGGAAUCGCUAGUAAUCGUGGAUCAGAAUGCCACGGUGAAUACGUUCCCGGGCCUUGUACACACCG
This 435-nucleotide ribosomal RNA is filed under the name uncultured bacterium. RNAcentral describes it as "bacterial SSU rRNA". It matches the Rfam family "Bacterial small subunit ribosomal RNA", at positions 957 to 1392 of the family's 1533-position model. The record is from RNAcentral.